AUUCCAGCUCCAAUAGCGUAUGUUAAAGUUGUUGCGGUAAAAAAGCUCGUAGUUGGAUUUCUGUUGAGAGCGACCGGUCCAUACCAUGUAUGCGUAUCUGGCUUGCUCUCGGCAUCCUCUCGAUGGACGUUGCUGCGCCUGAUUGCGUGGCGCGGACCUCGGGACUUUUACUUUGAGGAAAUUAGAGUGUUCACGGCAGGCUUUCGCCAGAAUACAUUAGCAUGGAAUAAUACUAUAGGAUCUCGGUUCUAUUUUGUUGGUUUCUAGAAUUGAGAUAAUGAUUAAUAGGGACAAUUGGGGGCAUUCGUAUCAACACGUCAGAGGUGGAAUCCUUGGAUUGUGUUGCGACGAACUACUGCGAAAGCAUUUGCCAAGGAUGUUUUCAUCA
RNAcentral lists this ribosomal RNA (388 nucleotides) under Syndiniales sp. RNAcentral's name for it is "partial small subunit ribosomal RNA". It matches the Rfam family "Eukaryotic small subunit ribosomal RNA", at positions 582 to 975 of the family's 1831-position model. The record is from RNAcentral. Lineage: Eukaryota; Dinophyceae; Syndiniales.